UUAGUGUAAUAAUCUCGGGGUACUCUGGUAUCUACUUCUCAUCCUGCGUACGUAGAUGACGUUUUUCUGUCGCAAAAAUCGCGCGGCGACGGCGUGUGUUCAGCUCUCCUGACAGACAAAUGUGGCUCACUAGACAUUUGUCUCUGACACAAAUAAGUGAGGAAUAAAGAAUACAAAAUAUUAUCGGGAGAAGCAACAACUACUUUGCUUCAAAAUGAGUGACGACACAGACAACCCUCCUGAGAGGGAAAUGAAGGAUUUUCAGUUUCGACAAAUGAAAAAAACCAGAGUCUUUCAGCCCACUGAAGAUUUGCCAAAAGAAAGAACUAGUCUGCUUACCAUCUCAAACAAAUUUGGUUUAACUUUUGUCGGGCUCGACAGAACAUUCAAGGUUUACCAAACUCAAGACAUCCUGGGCGCUGAUAAAUUUGAUGGCAACCCCAACGAAGUAGUCGAGGGGACACCUGUAUUGGCAGAUGUGACUGUGGAUCUGUCCCUGCACCACUUAGCUCUCAGUAGUGAUGAACUCACUUUGUCAGUAUGUGGUAUUUCUGAGGCGGGGGGGUUGUCCUUCACCUUCUAUGAUGUCCGCACCUUCAUGAACAAGGCAAGAACCCAGAAACUACCUUUUGCAUCACUGCUGCCUGCAGUAGCCCCUGGCUGUUUAGUUCAAGACCUGAAGUGGAAUCCUGUCCAGCCGUCAAUGCUCGCCGCCUGUCUGUCUGACGGCUGUUUGAUGAUCUUGGAUGUUACUGGCGAUGUCAAAGUGCAGGCUCAGCUACCGGCUUCAAAUGGCAUCACAUGUAUUGGCUGGAGUCCAAAAGGAAAACAAGUUGCUGCAGGAAAAAUGAAUUCUGAAGUCAGUCAAUAUACACCUGCACUAGAGGAAAAAAGAAAAAUCCCAUGUCCCAACUUCUACACUUCUGACCCUGUCAAAGUUCUGGAUGUGCAGUGGCUGAAAACGUUUGUGUUUGCUGUGGUCUAUGCUGCUGCAGACGGGUCCCUUGAGACUCCUCCUGAGCUCGUAUUGAUCUCCCUUCCUAAGAAGGAUGAGAGGCCGGAGACAAAGUAUCUGAACUUUAGUGACACGGUGUACGGCAGCUUCACGGAGCGACAACACCACUACUUCCUUAGCCAUGUGGAGGACUGGGACCUCCUGUUUGCAGCAUCAGCGGCCUCCAUUGAAGUCAGUGUCAUAGCCGCCAGACAAGAGGACAAGAACUGGGAGCUUUGGAUCCUGGAAGAUGCGAGUAGAGCUGAGCUUCCAGUGACGGAGACGAGUGAAGACACGCUGCCUCUCGGCCUAGCCAUAGACUACACCAGCCAGCAGGCGAUCUACAUCACCGAUGAGAAGACCUUGCCCCCUGCGCCCACCAUGCUGAUGCUGUCCACCGAGGGAAUACUCUGCCCAUUUGCUCUGCUCAACCUCAAUCCCGGUGUCAAGCAGCUGGUCGCACCCCCAUCUGUCCUCGCCCUGGAUGGGGAGAGACCGCCCAUGCCAGGUGCUUUGGCUGCCCAACCACCCAAAGUCGCUGCCUCCAUCCCAUCUGCCUCCAUCCCAUCUGCCUCCAUCCCAUCUGCCUCCAUCCCAUCUGCCUCCAUCCCAUCUGCUCCAGCGACAUUCCCAAAUCUCGGUUUUCCUCCAGCUGCUGCUCCCGCUCUUCUGGCCCCUGCUGCCGCUCCCUCUGCGGCCCCGUUCAGCGUCGCUCCCGCACCUCCCGUGUCCUCGGCAUCAUCGUCCAGCUUCGCUUUCUCGGUCCCAACUACCUGCGCCUCCUCUGCUCCUCCAGCUUUCUCCGUGGCGACAACCGCACCUUUUGGCUCCGGACCCUCCAGCUUCUCCUUUGCCAAACCUCCCUCUGACACUCCCUCAGCACCUUCAGCCUUUUCUUUCGCCCCACCCAUCAAACCAGCAGCGGUGGCAUCUCCACUUCCAACUCCGACACCCCAGAGUAUUGCUGCUGCCUCCCCGCCAACAGUGAAACUGAAUCUGGCUGAUAGGUUUACAGCAUUGGAGACACCAGCACCAUCUCCACAGUCUUUCUCCUACAAUCCCUCAAUGCCCAAACCAGUGACCCCCAUUUCCAGUAGUUUGACCGCCCCUCCACCAUCAGCCGCUAAACCUCCAGCUGUAAUGGCUCCAGUGCGUCCAGUUCAAAUCAACACGCCCCCCACAGUCGUCCAGAAGCCUGCUCCUGCUCCUGCUGCACAGGGCCGCGUCCAAACACCACAGCAGGCAGCUGUUAGUAUCAAGGCCUUGGAGAAGCAGCUACAGCAAAAGAAAGACUUUGAUCCAAUUAUGGUUGGCAUAUUUGAAGAGAUUGCACACUUCCAGAAGGAGUUAGAUGAUCUGAAGACUCGAAGCUCUCGAGCUGACUUCAAGGUCGGCACAAAUGAUGAGAUGAAGGAGCUGAGGAAGGAGUCAGAGGACCUCCAUAUUUUCACCCUCGAGAUAAAGGAGACAACAGAGUCUCUCCAUGGGGACAUUGGUACACUGAAGACCACCUUACUGGAGGGCUUUGCUGGGGCAGAAGAGGCAAAGACCCAAAGUGAGCUAAGCAGAGACAGAAAUUACAGACAGCUGCUUUACAAAAAACCUCUGGACCCCCGCAGCGAGGAACGACUCAAGGAGAUACGAAGGCUGUACCAGUACAUCAUGUUUGCUGUGGAAGAUGUCAAUGAUGUGUUGGAUGUGGAAUGGGAGAAACACCUGGAGAAAAAGAAAAAACAGAAACACAUGGUCGUGCCAGGGCGUGAGGGUCUGUUCACUACGUUGGCCAACAACCUGUACAUCAUCAACCAGCAGAAGAACAGACUGGACCAGUUGGUCAAACAGCUCACUUCUCUGCGCCUCUACAACAAGACUACCGCUCCAACUAUAAGCUGCAGUGCUGCUGCUGCAGAAACUGCUUCUGGCUUGGAAAGCGAGAUUGAGAGUUUAAGGGAUGCACUCCUGAAAGCCAGGCUGGACACCAACCCUCCUAUGCCCAAACCCAAGUCUCCAGUCAAGAUAUCGCCAGUGAAACAGUCCCAGUUGCGUAACUUCCUCUCAAAGGGGCAGAUGCCUCCUGUCCGCUCAACUGCACCAGCCAACCUGUCCCGCUCAGCCUUCCUGUCCCCUAAAUACUACGAGGACUUGGACGAUGUGAGCUCUUCGUCCUCCCUGUCCCUGGAGCCCCACCCAGCUGACUUGGAGAUGGAGGAAGAGGAGCUACAGUUGGCACCCCUUCCCCUUUCUGUCCUUCCUCCAGCAUUGUCCACCCCCCGCCACCCCACAGUCGUGAGGACCCCCUCUAUCCAGCCAGGCUUCGGGGCCAUCCAGUCCACCCCUUUGACCAAAAUGCACUCAGUGCAGGGUUUGGGCUUUGGACUCAGCCCUAUUGCCAGCCCUGAUGUUUCAGUUCCGAGCAAUAAGAUUAACCUGAGCGGGGCUGAUAGCACUGCCCUCGCCACAAAGACAGUGAAACAUGGAGCCCCCCCGAAUGACAGGAGCGUCCCCGCACAGCAGGCUGCAGCCACUGCCGCCCUACGCAGGCAGAUGGCCAAUCAGAAGACAGCUGUUGUCGGUGCAUCCUUGACAGAGUCCACUCUGAAGAACGUGCCUCAGGUGGUCAAUGUCCAGGAGCUCAAGGACAAAGGGCCUCCGAUGCCACAGUCCAAUAUCAUCAGCUCAUCAGCAGGAGACUCCGGAGCUUCGGUCUUUUCAACAGUUUCGUCUCACCAGGCCAAACGAAAUCCUAGCCAAGGUUUCCAGAAGAUGUCCAAUGAAAUCAACCCACAGUCGAGCUUUGUGUUUGGUCAAUCAUCCAAAACAGAGUCUCCAGUGGCUCCUGCUAGCACCGCAGAGCAAAACACCAGCAAAGGUUUCUCCUUCGCAUCAGGGGCCACUGGCUUCAGUUUUUCUUCUGUUACACCGGCAGCUGGAGUGCCACAAGUUAACGAUGCGAAUAAAUUCUCCUUUGGUGGAAAUGGUAAGAUGAUGUUUAGCCAGUCGGCAGAGGAGCCAUUCUCCCUCACCCCAAAGUCCCCCUCCCCUGCUCUCGGAACCGCCUCUCCCACCCUGCCCCUGUCAGGAGACAAACUGGCCCUGAGGACAGAGCCACAGCCCCUGAAGCCCAUUGGGGGGGAAACUCUGGGCAUCUUCUCUGGACUACGUGUGGGCCAUGGAGAAGAAGCCCAAGAUGCAUCCGCCAAACCCACCGCUGGCUCAUUUAGCUUUGGAGAAGCUGGACUCGGUCUAGGCAAGGGAGCGGCGCAGUUUAGCUUUGCUCCAGGCCAACAAAAGUCUGCAGACGAUUCUGCAGGAGCAGACCUGUCCAAGGGGGCAGCGUUGGGGAGUUUGUUCAAGCCCCCUGAACAAAACCCCAAGCCGGCCUUCUCCAUCCCUCAGUCCGGUUUAGCAGCCUUGGCUUCACCUACGUCUUUCAGCAGUCUUCUUGCGGCUUCUCCAGACCCUUCAGAGGAGCAGAAAGGUUCCCCACCACUUUAUGAACCCACCCCACCUCCAGCUGUAGAGAGCCCCAGCCCCCCUGCAGCCCCCGAGCCUGCAGAGGAUGCAGCUGCCACAGAAACCACAGCGAUUACAGCACCAUCGCCCUCACCUCCUUUGGCCGCAACCUCCCCGCCCCCACACCCUCCCUCAUAUUUCACCGCCCCAGCUGAUGCAAUCCCACCAGCCAGUGCGGCUCCCACAACAGAAGCCCCCCCAGACAGCACCACGACCGCUAGUCCUGUGCCCACAUCUGCUGCCCCCGCCCCUGCUGUAGCACCCACCCCUGGUGUAGCUCCAACAGCCUUCCAGGUGCCCAGUUCUGACAAACCAGGCUCCAUUUUCACUCAAACGACCCCCACAAUAACGGACAGCAGUUCCCUCGGAGCUACACCAGUUAUCAGCACAGUUGCCGCUGCAGGCACCACCCCUACCUCCACUGUUGUUAGCACAGCUACUACUGCUAGCACUGUGUUUGGGCAACCUGCUGCCCCUCCAGCUUCCUCUGUCCCCCCAGCCCCCUCAGCCCCAGGGUUUGGCUCAACUGCGUUUGGUACACCCUCUGCACCUGGUUUUGGAAAUUCUGUGUUUGGCCAGGUGAGUGGCUUCGGCCAACCUGCCACCAACACUGAAACACCUGGCGGCUUUUCUUUUGGCCAAUCUGCAUUUGGCGCGAGUUCUAACAGCGCAACUACUGGAGGAAGUCUCUUCGGUGCCGCCACUGCCACCAAUGCCAGUUCCUUCUCCUUCGGCACGAGCAGCGCCAACACAGCCAGCAGCACCGGGUCAGGGCUGUUCGGACAAACCACAGCACCGGCAUUUGGCCAGAGCUCUGGAUUUGGGCCAGGGCCUGUGUUUGGGAGUAACACCACCACAUCUUCAUCUACAGGAUUUGGAUUUGGACAGCCCUCAGGUGAGACUUUUGGCUCUGCUGCGGCCCCUGUGUUCGGCCAACAAUCUAGCAGCGGAAGUGUAUUUGGACAGCAGCAGCAGCAGCAGCAGCAGCAACAGCAGCAACCAUCGUCUGGUGGCAAUCUGUUCGGCUCAAGUUCAGCCAACGCAGCGGGACAAACCGCUGGAGGGGGAUUCUUCUCUGGACUCGGAGGCAAACCCAGCGAAGAAGCUGCCAACAAGAACCCAUUCGGCACCGGUGCUUCCCCCGGAGGGUUUGGGCAGCCUGCUCAGACAGGUACCCCCUCUCUGUUUGGGACUAGCAGUGCCAAGUCCUUUGACUUUGGGCAGAGCUCCUUUGGGGAGCAGAAACCCAGCGGGACCUUCACCACCGGGGCAGGGAGUGUCGCAGCACAGGGAUUUGGCUCCUUCUCAUCUCCGGCAAAAUCAGGUGGUUUCGGCAGUGCUCCGGUGUUUGGGAGCCCCCCUUCCUUUGGGAGUUCCCAAGCUUUUGGUGGUGGAGCAUCGUUCGGAUCGACCCCUUCCUUCGCCAACCCAAUGGUGCCCUCCGCUAGUAAAGUGUUCGGAGAGGGAACAACGGCCUCCAGCAUGGGAGGGUUUGGGUUUGCCUCACCACCCAGCGGCCCAUCCUUUGGGUCCCUAGCCAAUCAGAGUGCUCCGUCGUUCGGGGGCCUAGCCCAGCAGAGCCCUGGGUUUGGGACUCAGCCCAGCAGCUUCUCCGGCUUUGGACAGCAGCCACAACAGGCGGGAGGUGAGACUACUGCUUUAGAGGCUCUGUUUGUCCCUAUUCCCUCAUCAUCAUCAUCAUCAUCAUCUUCAAAUGUCCUUCCCAGCACUUCUACAUAGUGUAUGCUGCAGUCAGUGUCUCAAGGGUACUUGGAUUCCCCGGACACACAAACACCUUUGGGUCUGCUAACCAGCACAGAUCCACAUGAGAGAUUAAAGGAGGAGGGGGGUUCCACAUCCACGUCAACAUACAGGACCACGUGACCGCACAUCAACAGCUGGGACAACUCAACAACAUCGAUGUGGAAAAUGGCUGUGAUUGAAAUGAUUCAAAUAAUCAAAUAAUGCUCUAUCUGCUUUUUUAGACCUGACUUCUCCCUUUUUUUAAGCUGUUUUAAAUUGUUUAAACUGCAAAGAGAUAGAAAUUAAAGCACCAAUGACCAGAAA
Gymnodraco acuticeps is the source of this 6574-nucleotide RNA transcript. It is a transcript of the gene named nucleoporin 214, with no coding region annotated. The transcript has 36 exons. NCBI's taxonomy places the organism in Eukaryota, Metazoa, Chordata, Actinopteri, Perciformes, Bathydraconidae. The record is from RefSeq and is a predicted model, not a curated record.